This 411-nucleotide ribosomal RNA is filed under the name uncultured bacterium. RNAcentral's name for it is "bacterial SSU rRNA". It matches the Rfam family "Bacterial small subunit ribosomal RNA", at positions 917 to 1344 of the family's 1533-position model. The record is from RNAcentral.
GGACCAGCACAAGUAGAGGAGCAUGCGGUUUAAUUCGAUGCAACACGAAGAACCUUACCAAGGCUUGACAUACUCCAAAACUUUGCGAAAUCGAAGUGUGCCUUCGGGAAUGGAGCUACAGGUGGUGCAUGGCUGUCGUCAGUUCGUGCCGUAAGGUGUUGGGUUAAGUCCCGCAACGAGCGCAACCCUUAUGUUUUGUUAUUUUUCUAAACAGACUGCCGAUGAUAAAUCGGAGGAAGGAGAGGAUGACGUCAAGUCAUCAUGCCCCUUAUGCCUUGGGCUACACGCGUGCUACAAUGGAUGAGACAAAGAGCAGCAACCCUGCGAAGGCAAGCAAAUCUCAAAAACUCAUUCUCAGUUCGGAUUGGAGACUGCAACUCGUCUCCAUGAAGGUGGAUUUACUAGUAAUCG